CCUACGGGAGGCAGCAGUGAGGAAUAUUGGUCAAUGGACGCAGGGCUGAACCAGCCAUGCCGCGUGCAGGAUGACGGCCCUAUGGGUUGUAAACUGCUUUUGUACGAGGGUAAACGCAGAUACGUGUAGCUGUCUGCAAGUACCGGACGAAUAAGCAUCGGCUAACUCCGUGCCAGCAGCCGCGGUAAUACGGAGGAUGCGAGCGUUAUCCGGAUUUAUUGGGUUUAAAGGGUGCGUAGGCGGAAGGUCAAGUCGGAGGUAAAAUCCCGGGGCUCAACUCCGGAUUGCCCUUGAUACUGGUGGGCUUGAGAGUACGUGCAGUAUGCGGAAUGUGUGGUGUAGCGGUGAAAUGCUUAGAGAUCAUACAGAACACCGAUUGCGAAGGCAGCUUACC
This 394-nucleotide ribosomal RNA is filed under the name uncultured bacterium. RNAcentral's name for it is "partial 16S ribosomal RNA". It matches the Rfam family "Bacterial small subunit ribosomal RNA", at positions 338 to 730 of the family's 1533-position model. The record is from RNAcentral.